GAGGGUAUAGCUCAGCGUAGAGCACGUGCUUAGCAUGCAUGAGGUCCUGGGUUCCAUCCCCAGUGCCUCUG
This is a transfer RNA of Camelus ferus (Wild Bactrian camel), 71 nucleotides long. It matches the Rfam family "tRNA". From Rfam's summary of the family: Transfer RNA (tRNA) molecules are approximately 80 nucleotides in length. Their secondary structure includes four short double-helical elements and three loops (D, anti-codon, and T loops). The record is from Rfam. Lineage: Eukaryota; Metazoa; Chordata; Mammalia; Artiodactyla; Camelidae.